GCGACAAAUUAAUGAGGAAUUAGAGAUAGUUCGACACUCAGGUGCUACCGCCAAUAGUUGCUUCAUAGAGAUCAUGGGCUGUAUGAUGCCCAAAUCUUUUAGAAUAUCAUAUGAUUAUAUAUUAGUCGUAAUUCUCAAUGUCCGUUUCUUCUUCCUAGUCCUAGAUACCGAUGCAAGUAAAUUGGUUUUCUCUAUAUUAAAAAUUGGUAAAGCUAUUGGAACUAAAUUUGAUGGAGCCUAUAAAAUUGGUUCUUUCAAUGGAUAAGAUUGUUCUCCCAAUUGAACUGAUAUUAGUUCCUUGGAAUUCAUGUAGGUGAGUAGAUCUUUCAACGAAAAGGACGUUUCUCGAAACUGUGUAAAGAACAAAAUAGCUUGAUACGGAAUCGAAGCCUUUGUAAUUAAUACGUCAUUAGGGUGCACAACUGAUUAAGGUCUUAUACUGAGUAAGGAGCCCAUGUCAAGACUUAGAUUAGAUGUUGUAAUUAUCGUUUUACUUAUUCUAUAAAUUUCUUUUAGAAUAAACUCGUAUACAAAAAUUUGAACACAUAGAAAGACUAAGAGCAUGAGCUUUACUUAUUAGGGUCACAUGAUUAACUAUAUUCUAAACCACUAAAACACUAAGAAACACUACAAUACUUCCUUCUAGGAAUAAUACUCCUUCAUCAACUGAUAACCACAAUGUGCAACUCUACACUCUCAAAAGAUUGCUCAAAUCACAAUAAUUUCCAUCCAAUACUAGAAAGAACAGACUUCACUCCAACCAAUCUAGAUCCACACAACUUCUGUAAUUACAGACUUCCUCUAUCCAAAAUAUACACAACUCUCGAUAAACAACAAUCACAAUCUUUCAAUCAUAAUCAAUCUUCUAAUAACUUCUCUAUAAUUCAAUCACAUAAUACUCCAAUUACAUAAUCAAUAUCUCAUAAAUCAAUCUUUGAUUUAUUCUACAGACUCACUUCUCAGUAUUCAAAAACUAUCCAUUACUCUUCAACAACAAAGAUAACAAAGAAAACAAAGAAGUAGCACCAAGCUUAAUCCCGGCUCAUGACUA
This 1051-nucleotide long non-coding RNA is filed under the name Physcomitrium patens. RNAcentral's name for it is "long non-coding RNA (PPAT_LNC002744)". Lineage: Eukaryota; Viridiplantae; Streptophyta; Bryopsida; Funariales; Funariaceae. The record is from RNAcentral.